This 254-nucleotide ribosomal RNA is filed under the name uncultured bacterium. RNAcentral's name for it is "partial 16S ribosomal RNA". It matches the Rfam family "Bacterial small subunit ribosomal RNA", at positions 524 to 776 of the family's 1533-position model. The record is from RNAcentral.
GACGUAGGGCGCGAGCGUUGUCCGGAUUUAUUGGGCGUAAAGAGCUCGUAGGCGGCUUGUCGCGUCGACUGUGAAAACCCGUGGCUCAACCAUGUGGUCUGCAGCCGAUACGGGCAGGCUAGAAUUCGGUAGGGGAGACUGGAAUUCCUGGUGUAGCGGUGAAAUGCGCAGAUAUCAGGAGGAACACCGGUGGCGAAGGCGGGUCUCUGGGCCGAUAUUGACGCUGAGGAGCGAAAGCGUGGGGAGCGAACAGG